This 431-nucleotide ribosomal RNA is filed under the name uncultured bacterium. Its description in RNAcentral is "bacterial SSU rRNA". It matches the Rfam family "Bacterial small subunit ribosomal RNA", at positions 29 to 506 of the family's 1533-position model. The record is from RNAcentral.
ACGAACGCUGGCGGCAUGCCUAAUACAUGCAAGUCGAACGAGAUCUUCGGAUCUAGUGGCGCACGGGUGCGUAACGCGUGGGAAUCUGCCCUUGGGUUCGGAAUAACAGUUGGAAACGACUGCUAAUACCGGAUGAUGACGAAAGUCCAAAGAUUUAUCGCCCAAGGAUGAGCCCGCGUAGGAUUAGCUAGUUGGUGGGGUAAAGGCCUACCAAGGCGACGAUCCUUAGCUGGUCUGAGAGGAUGAUCAGCCACACUGGGACUGAGACACGGCCCAGACUCCUACGGGAGGCAGCAGUAGGGAAUAUUGGACAAUGGGGGCAACCCUGAUCCAGCAAUGCCGCGUGAGUGAUGAAGGCCUUAGGGUUGUAAAGCUCUUUUACCCGGGAUGAUAAUGACAGUACCGGGAGAAUAAGCCCCGGCUAACUCCGU